GCCUCCCCGCGGGACAGACCGGGAAACACCGGGACAGACCGGGACACAGCGGAACGUGUGGAUUCUUAUGCGGGUAAUGACCACGGGUGCAGCAAAGAGGAGCAGGGUAACGGAGAACAUGGAGAUGAGAGCCACCCGGCAGUGCUCCUGCUCGUGAGACGGGCACAGGGAAGCCACUGUGGGAAUGAGAAUGAUGGGAACGAAGAAGGUCAAGCAUUGAGCACCCCACAGCACCCACAUCAUGGGAUUGGGAAGGUCACAGCGGCAGCAGAGCUUGCAGAGCUUUUCCACGUCCUUUUUGGCGCUGAUGGCUGUCAUCCAGAAGAGCACCCAGUAGCAGGAGAACGCUGACACCAGGUAAAGGAAUCUCACGUACAUCAGGGGCAUGACAGGAGAGCAGGACACAUCUUCCAGCAGGAAGAGCAGGGCAGAGGGAACCGCAAAGAGGAGGAAGAUGAAGUCGGUGACAGCCAGGCUAAAGAUGCUGGCAGUAUGCCCUUUCCAUCUGAGGAGGCAGAAGAGCCCCGUUCCCGGCCAGCCCACAGAGACAGAUGAGCAGUGUCACACUGUGUAUGGCCACGUUGGUGACAUCUGUCUCACAUGGAUCAUCUCCUUCGGUGGGUGAGGCAGAAGGUGGGGACACGGAGCUCACCGCCAUGGAUGGACGCUGGGCAGGCGGUGGGAUGUGGCCCCGGCUGUGGUCAGAGUGGAUGGGCAGUCAGUGCUUGGAGAAUCCAGGGAUGGACCAAGCGGCUCCUCAGCAGCUCCCUGCAGCGGGAAGGGUUUGGUGGAGAGAAGGCAAGAAAUGAGGCUGGAGCCGGUGCUGGAACAGAUCUGGAGGCCUGCAGUGGUUCUUGGGCAGUUCUGUCACAAGACACAACAGUGCACGCCCAGGAAAAUAGCUCAAGGCAAGGUCACCUUUAAUACUGAAGCAUUCAGUGAAUAUGACCAGCAGAGACCCCUCUUAAUGAAUCUGCAGGACCAUCAAAAGACUUCCAGGAGGAGAAGCAUUGCAACUUGCUGAAAUUCCAGAUUGUGUCAAGUAUGACACUUCAAAUUUGUUCAGCAGAUUCAUUGUGCUGCAAGAGGGAGCUACCCUGGGUCAGAGAUGACAUCGGAGAUGGAGGCUUCUGAUAGCUGACUAAGAGGCCAACCUGGUGAUCACAGUGCCUUUGGAGAUGGCUGAGAGGGAGAGCAUGUAAACCUGAUGUGAACGGAGGAGACCAGAGGAGCACAGCAACGAGGUGGGUCGGUGCCUGAAGUCCAAGCUACGGCCUGACUCUGGGCUCUACGUUUACCUCACUGUUCGGAUUUUCAUUUUGAAGAUGCGAGGCACUUGGCACAGCAGGGUGGUCUGCAGCAUUCAAAUCGCUACUCCAACAUGACAGACACCCUUGCAGAAAGAGGUCACAGUUGAGCACUUUCAGGUGGAACCUACCUUGGCAAUGCAACACUUUUGGACACUACAUCGGCAUGUGCCUUUCCACUUUGUUUUGCCCCUUCUCCCCUGGGAAGGAAGUAAACCUGGAUAUCAGCAGUCAAGGUCAAGUGAGUGAGGUGGCCCACUUGUAUUAUGCCUGCAGGGGCUGAACCCCCUCAUGGACCAGCUGAUGGAGCCAGUUUAUCACCCUUGAGCUGCCCCUGUGAGCCUUCCAGAAGUAUUACAGGGCUCUGCGAUGAAGCCUGUACCUUUUCUGUUUGAAGGGAUACCCUGCGACGGCGGCGUCGGCCUAGGAGUGCGGCCACAGCGUAUGAGCCGAGGACCGGGACGUUCUCAGGAGACGUAGACUAAGAGAGAACAGCCCUCUGAGGGCAGGAACUUCCCAGAUGAUGAGGCGGCCUUCUUUUGCACCUGAUGAGGAUUUGCAUCCCUGGAUAUCUGAGAGCUAAAGGGAGAGCAUGUAAACCUGAUGUGAACGGAGGAGACCAGAGGAGCACAGCAACGAGGUGGGUCGGUGCCUGAAGUCCAAGCUACGGCCUGACUCUGGGCUCUACGUUUACCUCACUGUUCGGAUUUUCAUUUUGAAGAUGCGAGGCACUUGGCACAGCAGGGUGGUCUGCAGCAUUCAAAUCGCUACUCCAACAUGACAGACACCCUUGCAGAAAGAGGUCACAGUUGAGCACUUUCAGGUGGAACCUACCUUGGCAAUGCAACACUUUUGGACACUACAUCGGCAUGUGCUUUUCCACUUUGUUUUGCCCCUUCUCCCCUGGGAAGGAAGUAAACCUGGAUAUCAGCAGUCAAGGUCAAGUGAGUGAGGUGGCCCACUUGUAUUAUGCCUGCAGGGGCUGAACCCCCUCAUGGACCAGCUGAUGGAGCCAGUUUAUCACCCUUGAGCUGCCCCUGUGAGCCUUCCAGAAGUAUUACAGGGCUCUGCGAUGAAGCCUGUACCUUUUCUGUUUGAAGGGAUACCCUGCGACGGCGGCGUCGGCCUAGGAGUGCGGCCACAGCGUAUGAGCCGAGGACCGGGACGUUCUCAGGAGACGUAGACUAAGAGAGAACAGCCCUCUGAGGGCAGGAACUUCCCAGAUGAUGAGGCGGCCUUCUUUUGCACCUGAUGAGGAUUUGCAUCCCUGGAUAUCUGAGAGCUAAAGGGAGAGCAUGUAAACCUGAUGUGAACGGAGGAGACCAGAGGAGCACAGCAACGAGGUGGGUCGGUGCCUGAAGUCCAAGCUACGGCCUGACUCUGGGCUCUACGUUUACCUCACUGUUCGGAUUUUCAUUUUGAAGAUGCGAGGCACUUGGCACAGCAGGGUGGUCUGCAGCAUUCAAAUCGCUACUCCAACAUGACAGACACCCUUGCAGAAAGAGGUCACAGUUGAGCACUUUCAGGUGGAACCUACCUUGGCAAUGCAACACUUUUGGACACUACAUCGGCAUGUGCCUUUCCACUUUGUUUUGCCCCUUCUCCCCUGGGAAGGAAGUAAACCUGGAUAUCAGCAGUCAAGGUCAAGUGAGUGAGGUGGCCCACUUGUAUUAUGCCUGCAGGGGCUGAACCCCCUCAUGGACCAGCUGAUGGAGCCAGUUUAUCACCCUUGAGCUGCCCCUGUGAGCCUUCCAGAAGUAUUACAGGGCUCUGCGAUGAAGCCUGUACCUUUUCUGUUUGAAGGGAUACCCUGCGACGGCGGCGUCGGCCUAGGAGUGCGGCCACAGCGUAUGAGCCGAGGACCGGGACGUUCUCAGGAGACGUAGACUAAGAGAGAACAGCCCUCUGAGGGCAGGAACUUCCCAGAUGAUGAGGCGGCCUUCUUUUGCACCUGAUGAGGAUUUGCAUCCCUGGAUAUCUGAGAGCUAAAGGGAGAGCAUGUAAACCUGAUGUGAACGGAGGAGACCAGAGGAGCACAGCAACGAGGUGGGUCGGUGCCUGAAGUCCAAGCUACGGCCUGACUCUGGGCUCUACGUUUACCUCACUGUUCGGAUUUUCAUUUUGAAGAUGCGAGGCACUUGGCACAGCAGGGUGGUCUGCAGCAUUCAAAUCGCUACUCCAACAUGACAGACACCCUUGCAGAAAGAGGUCACAGUUGAGCACUUUCAGGUGGAACCUACCUUGGCAAUGCAACACUUUUGGACACUACAUCGGCAUGUGCUUUUCCACUUUGUUUUGCCCCUUCUCCCCUGGGAAGGAAGUAAACCUGGAUAUCAGCAGUCAAGGUCAAGUGAGUGAGGUGGCCCACUUGUAUUAUGCCUGCAGGGGCUGAACCCCCUCAUGGACCAGCUGAUGGAGCCAGUUUAUCACCCUUGAGCUGCCCCUGUGAGCCUUCCAGAAGUAUUACAGGGCUCUGCGAUGAAGCCUGUACCUUUUCUGUUUGAAGGGAUACCCUGCGACGGCGGCGUCGGCCUAGGAGUGCGGCCACAGCGUAUGAGCCGAGGACCGGGACGUUCUCAGGAGACGUAGACUAAGAGAGAACAGCCCUCUGAGGGCAGGAACUUCCCAGAUGAUGAGGCGGCCUUCUUUUGCACCUGAUGAGGAUUUGCAUCCCUGGAUAUCUGAGAGCUAAAGGGAGAGCAUGUAAACCUGAUGUGAACGGAGGAGACCAGAGGAGCACAGCAACGAGGUGGGUCGGUGCCUGAAGUCCAAGCUACGGCCUGACUCUGGGCUCUACGUUUACCUCACUGUUCGGAUUUUCAUUUUGAAGAUGCGAGGCACUUGGCACAGCAGGGUGGUCUGCAGCAUUCAAAUCGCUACUCCAACAUGACAGACACCCUUGCAGAAAGAGGUCACAGUUGAGCACUUUCAGGUGGAACCUACCUUGGCAAUGCAACACUUUUGGACACUACAUCGGCAUGUGCUUUUCCACUUUGUUUUGCCCCUUCUCCCCUGGGAAGGAAGUAAACCUGGAUAUCAGCAGUCAAGGUCAAGUGAGUGAGGUGGCCCACUUGUAUUAUGCCUGCAGGGGCUGAACCCCCUCAUGGACCAGCUGAUGGAGCCAGUUUAUCACCCUUGAGCUGCCCCUGUGAGCCUUCCAGAAGUAUUACAGGGCUCUGCGAUGAAGCCUGUACCUUUUCUGUUUGAAGGGAUACCCUGCGACGGCGGCGUCGGCCUAGGAGUGCGGCCACAGCGUAUGAGCCGAGGACCGGGACGUUCUCAGGAGACGUAGACUAAGAGAGAACAGCCCUCUGAGGGCAGGAACUUCCCAGAUGAUGAGGCGGCCUUCUUUUGCACCUGAUGAGGAUUUGCAUCCCUGGAUAUCUGAGAGCUAAAGGGAGAGCAUGUAAACCUGAUGUGAACGGAGGAGACCAGAGGAGCACAGCAACGAGGUGGGUCGGUGCCUGAAGUCCAAGCUACGGCCUGACUCUGGGCUCUACGUUUACCUCACUGUUCGGAUUUUCAUUUUGAAGAUGCGAGGCACUUGGCACAGCAGGGUGGUCUGCAGCAUUCAAAUCGCUACUCCAACAUGACAGACACCCUUGCAGAAAGAGGUCACAGUUGAGCACUUUCAGGUGGAACCUACCUUGGCAAUGCAACACUUUUGGACACUACAUCGGCAUGUGCUUUUCCACUUUGUUUUGCCCCUUCUCCCCUGGGAAGGAAGUAAACCUGGAUAUCAGCAGUCAAGGUCAAGUGAGUGAGGUGGCCCACUUGUAUUAUGCCUGCAGGGGCUGAACCCCCUCAUGGACCAGCUGAUGGAGCCAGUUUAUCACCCUUGAGCUGCCCCUGUGAGCCUUCCAGAAGUAUUACAGGGCUCUGCGAUGAAGCCUGUACCUUUUCUGUUUGAAGGGAUACCCUGCGACGGCGGCGUCGGCCUAGGAGUGCGGCCACAGCGUAUGAGCCGAGGACCGGGACGUUCUCAGGAGACGUAGACUAAGAGAGAACAGCCCUCUGAGGGCAGGAACUUCCCAGAUGAUGAGGCGGCCUUCUUUUGCACCUGAUGAGGAUUUGCAUCCCUGGAUAUCUGAGAGCUAAGUUGAGGGCUACACCUCAGGGAGGGGGAUGAGAGUGGGGUGCUGGGUCAGGACUUGGUGGGAGGGAUUUUUGAAUUAGCUUUGGAGAUGGGGAUGUUCACGAGAGGGCCCCUUAGGCCACGUAAAGGGAAAGCCUCGCUUUUGAUCACAAUGCUGAGGUGUGGAGGGCAGAGCAGUCCCGGUGUGUGUUGUCUUGUCCGGUGUGUGUUCUGUGUCUUUGGCUUCCCUUGGAUCAGAUCUCUCUGCCUUUUACCCUUAAGGGGCUUAUCAUAAGCAUUGGCCAUCAUCUCUAGCUUCUUGAACUUUCGUACUUCUCGGUAGGAUGCCAAUAUCACUUGUUCUUUUACUAGUGGGCUUGGCCACAUCUUGGAAUCACAUCUUGAAAGCAUUGAGUCGGAUCUCUUUUGAGGCCUUGUUCCCGGCUGUACUGCCAUCCAUCCUUUCCAGCCGUGAGCUGUAAUGUCCUGGGGCUUGUAAGAUUGUCAGGAUAUGGGAGCAUUCUAAACGUGGCGUUGUCUCUCACAGCCAUCUUGAUCAUUGUGACUGACAGUUCUUAGAACAGGUCACUGUUACAGUCUUUUCUUCUGCUCCUUAGAGCCCCCUUCAUCCACCAAUGCCAUACCAUCGGUUGUCUCUUUUGGCAUCGUCUCUGUCCUUGCCAUCGUUCUUCUUGCCGAGAGCUUUUUUUAUCAUCCUCAUGUCACACUGCUUGUAGUAUAAUGUGUUGUUUGAGUUUGUGUCUAGCCUGGAAUUGCUCUGCCCUGUAGAGUAGUCCUGGCGGGGGAGUAGGUGGAGAAGAAAGGAGACUUUACAGGGAGCCUUUUGCUUUGCUCAGCCACCUGAGCCACGCCUCGGAUGGAGUGACUGUGGCCAGUCUGUGUGGUGUUCAGUGGAGACGUGGGAGUGGUGCAGUGGUGUCUUGCAGUUUCAUAGUAGUUUGUCCUAAGGCCCACUACUGUGGGAUCCUAGGCAGUUUGCUUUGAGGAAUGAGAACUUGGGAAAGGCUAAGCUGGGUAACUUUGACAAAUAAUUCUUUUGCAGAGGGAGAGCAUGUAAACCUGAUGUGAACGGAGGAGACCAGAGGAGCACAGCAACGAGGUGGGUCGGUGCCUGAAGUCCAAGCUACGGCCUGACUCUGGGCUCUACGUUUACCUCACUGUUCGGAUUUUCAUUUUGAAGAUGCGAGGCACUUGGCACAGCAGGGUGGUCUGCAGCAUUCAAAUCGCUACUCCAACAUGACAGACACCCUUGCAGAAAGAGGUCACAGUUGAGCACUUUCAGGUGGAACCUACCUUGGCAAUGCAACACUUUUGGACACUACAUCGGCAUGUGCUUUUCCACUUUGUUUUGCCCCUUCUCCCCUGGGAAGGAAGUAAACCUGGAUAUCAGCAGUCAAGGUCAAGUGAGUGAGGUGGCCCACUUGUAUUAUGCCUGCAGGGGCUGAACCCCCUCAUGGACCAGCUGAUGGAGCCAGUUUAUCACCCUUGAGCUGCCCCUGUGAGCCUUCCAGAAGUAUUACAGGGCUCUGCGAUGAAGCCUGUACCUUUUCUGUUUGAAGGGAUACCCUGCGACGGCGGCGUCGGCCUAGGAGUGCGGCCACAGCGUAUGAGCCGAGGACCGGGACGUUCUCAGGAGACGUAGACUAAGAGAGAACAGCCCUCUGAGGGCAGGAACUUCCCAGAUGAUGAGGCGGCCUUCUUUUGCACCUGAUGAGGAUUUGCAUCCCUGGAUAUCUGAGAGCUAAAGGGAGAGCAUGUAAACCUGAUGUGAACGGAGGAGACCAGAGGAGCACAGCAACGAGGUGGGUCGGUGCCUGAAGUCCAAGCUACGGCCUGACUCUGGGCUCUACGUUUACCUCACUGUUCGGAUUUUCAUUUUGAAGAUGCGAGGCACUUGGCACAGCAGGGUGGUCUGCAGCAUUCAAAUCGCUACUCCAACAUGACAGACACCCUUGCAGAAAGAGGUCACAGUUGAGCACUUUCAGGUGGAACCUACCUUGGCAAUGCAACACUUUUGGACACUACAUCGGCAUGUGCUUUUCCACUUUGUUUUGCCCCUUCUCCCCUGGGAAGGAAGUAAACCUGGAUAUCAGCAGUCAAGGUCAAGUGAGUGAGGUGGCCCACUUGUAUUAUGCCUGCAGGGGCUGAACCCCCUCAUGGACCAGCUGAUGGAGCCAGUUUAUCACCCUUGAGCUGCCCCUGUGAGCCUUCCAGAAGUAUUACAGGGCUCUGCGAUGAAGCCUGUACCUUUUCUGUUUGAAGGGAUACCCUGCGACGGCGGCGUCGGCCUAGGAGUGCGGCCACAGCGUAUGAGCCGAGGACCGGGACGUUCUCAGGAGACGUAGACUAAGAGAGAACAGCCCUCUGAGGGCAGGAACUUCCCAGAUGAUGAGGCGGCCUUCUUUUGCACCUGAUGAGGAUUUGCAUCCCUGGAUAUCUGAGAGCUAAAGGGAGAGCAUGUAAACCUGAUGUGAACGGAGGAGACCAGAGGAGCACAGCAACGAGGUGGGUCGGUGCCUGAAGUCCAAGCUACGGCCUGACUCUGGGCUCUACGUUUACCUCACUGUUCGGAUUUUCAUUUUGAAGAUGCGAGGCACUUGGCACAGCAGGGUGGUCUGCAGCAUUCAAAUCGCUACUCCAACAUGACAGACACCCUUGCAGAAAGAGGUCACAGUUGAGCACUUUCAGGUGGAACCUACCUUGGCAAUGCAACACUUUUGGACACUACAUCGGCAUGUGCUUUUCCACUUUGUUUUGCCCCUUCUCCCCUGGGAAGGAAGUAAACCUGGAUAUCAGCAGUCAAGGUCAAGUGAGUGAGGUGGCCCACUUGUAUUAUGCCUGCAGGGGCUGAACCCCCUCAUGGACCAGCUGAUGGAGCCAGUUUAUCACCCUUGAGCUGCCCCUGUGAGCCUUCCAGAAGUAUUACAGGGCUCUGCGAUGAAGCCUGUACCUUUUCUGUUUGAAGGGAUACCCUGCGACGGCGGCGUCGGCCUAGGAGUGCGGCCACAGCGUAUGAGCCGAGGACCGGGACGUUCUCAGGAGACGUAGACUAAGAGAGAACAGCCCUCUGAGGGCAGGAACUUCCCAGAUGAUGAGGCGGCCUUCUUUUGCACCUGAUGAGGAUUUGCAUCCCUGGAUAUCUGAGAGCUAAGUUGAGGGCUACACCUCAGGGAGGGGGAUGAGAGUGGGGUGCUGGGUCAGGACUUGGUGGGAGGGAUUUUUGAAUUAGCUUUGGAGAUGGGGAUGUUCACGAGAGGGCCCCUUAGGCCACGUAAAGGGAAAGCCUCGCUUUUGAUCACAAUGCUGAGGUGUGGAGGGCAGAGCAGUCCCGGUGUGUGUUGUCUUGUCCGGUGUGUGUUCUGUGUCUUUGGCUUCCCUUGGAUCAGAUCUCUCUGCCUUUUACCCUUAAGGGGCUUAUCAUAAGCAUUGGCCAUCAUCUCUAGCUUCUUGAACUUUCGUACUUCUCGGUAGGAUGCCAAUAUCACUUGUUCUUUUACUAGUGGGCUUGGCCACAUCUUGGAAUCACAUCUUGAAAGCAUUGAGUCGGAUCUCUUUUGAGGCCUUGUUCCCGGCUGUACUGCCAUCCAUCCUUUCCAGCCGUGAGCUGUAAUGUCCUGGGGCUUGUAAGAUUGUCAGGAUAUGGGAGCAUUCUAAACGUGGCGUUGUCUCUCACAGCCAUCUUGAUCAUUGUGACUGACAGUUCUUAGAACAGGUCACUGUUACAGUCUUUUCUUCUGCUCCUUAGAGCCCCCUUCAUCCACCAAUGCCAUACCAUCGGUUGUCUCUUUUGGCAUCGUCUCUGUCCUUGCCAUCGUUCUUCUUGCCGAGAGCUUUUUUUAUCAUCCUCAUGUCACACUGCUUGUAGUAUAAUGUGUUGUUUGAGUUUGUGUCUAGCCUGGAAUUGCUCUGCCCUGUAGAGUAGUCCUGGCGGGGGAGUAGGUGGAGAAGAAAGGAGACUUUACAGGGAGCCUUUUGCUUUGCUCAGCCACCUGAGCCACGCCUCGGAUGGAGUGACUGUGGCCAGUCUGUGUGGUGUUCAGUGGAGACGUGGGAGUGGUGCAGUGGUGUCUUGCAGUUUCAUAGUAGUUUGUCCUAAGGCCCACUACUGUGGGAUCCUAGGCAGUUUGCUUUGAGGAAUGAGAACUUGGGAAAGGCUAAGCUGGGUAACUUUGACAAAUAAUUCUUUUGCAGAGGGAGAGCAUGUAAACCUGAUGUGAACGGAGGAGACCAGAGGAGCACAGCAACGAGGUGGGUCGGUGCCUGAAGUCCAAGCUACGGCCUGACUCUGGGCUCUACGUUUACCUCACUGUUCGGAUUUUCAUUUUGAAGAUGCGAGGCACUUGGCACAGCAGGGUGGUCUGCAGCAUUCAAAUCGCUACUCCAACAUGACAGACACCCUUGCAGAAAGAGGUCACAGUUGAGCACUUUCAGGUGGAACCUACCUUGGCAAUGCAACACUUUUGGACACUACAUCGGCAUGUGCCUUUCCACUUUGUUUUGCCCCUUCUCCCCUGGGAAGGAAGUAAACCUGGAUAUCAGCAGUCAAGGUCAAGUGAGUGAGGUGGCCCACUUGUAUUAUGCCUGCAGGGGCUGAACCCCCUCAUGGACCAGCUGAUGGAGCCAGUUUAUCACCCUUGAGCUGCCCCUGUGAGCCUUCCAGAAGUAUUACAGGGCUCUGCGAUGAAGCCUGUACCUUUUCUGUUUGAAGGGAUACCCUGCGACGGCGGCGUCGGCCUAGGAGUGCGGCCACAGCGUAUGAGCCGAGGACCGGGACGUUCUCAGGAGACGUAGACUAAGAGAGAACAGCCCUCUGAGGGCAGGAACUUCCCAGAUGAUGAGGCGGCCUUCUUUUGCACCUGAUGAGGAUUUGCAUCCCUGGAUAUCUGAGAGCUAAAGGGAGAGCAUGUAAACCUGAUGUGAACGGAGGAGACCAGAGGAGCACAGCAACGAGGUGGGUCGGUGCCUGAAGUCCAAGCUACGGCCUGACUCUGGGCUCUACGUUUACCUCACUGUUCGGAUUUUCAUUUUGAAGAUGCGAGGCACUUGGCACAGCAGGGUGGUCUGCAGCAUUCAAAUCGCUACUCCAACAUGACAGACACCCUUGCAGAAAGAGGUCACAGUUGAGCACUUUCAGGUGGAACCUACCUUGGCAAUGCAACACUUUUGGACACUACAUCGGCAUGUGCUUUUCCACUUUGUUUUGCCCCUUCUCCCCUGGGAAGGAAGUAAACCUGGAUAUCAGCAGUCAAGGUCAAGUGAGUGAGGUGGCCCACUUGUAUUAUGCCUGCAGGGGCUGAACCCCCUCAUGGACCAGCUGAUGGAGCCAGUUUAUCACCCUUGAGCUGCCCCUGUGAGCCUUCCAGAAGUAUUACAGGGCUCUGCGAUGAAGCCUGUACCUUUUCUGUUUGAAGGGAUACCCUGCGACGGCGGCGUCGGCCUAGGAGUGCGGCCACAGCGUAUGAGCCGAGGACCGGGACGUUCUCAGGAGACGUAGACUAAGAGAGAACAGCCCUCUGAGGGCAGGAACUUCCCAGAUGAUGAGGCGGCCUUCUUUUGCACCUGAUGAGGAUUUGCAUCCCUGGAUAUCUGAGAGCUAAAGGGAGAGCAUGUAAACCUGAUGUGAACGGAGGAGACCAGAGGAGCACAGCAACGAGGUGGGUCGGUGCCUGAAGUCCAAGCUACGGCCUGACUCUGGGCUCUACGUUUACCUCACUGUUCGGAUUUUCAUUUUGAAGAUGCGAGGCACUUGGCACAGCAGGGUGGUCUGCAGCAUUCAAAUCGCUACUCCAACAUGACAGACACCCUUGCAGAAAGAGGUCACAGUUGAGCACUUUCAGGUGGAACCUACCUUGGCAAUGCAACACUUUUGGACACUACAUCGGCAUGUGCUUUUCCACUUUGUUUUGCCCCUUCUCCCCUGGGAAGGAAGUAAACCUGGAUAUCAGCAGUCAAGGUCAAGUGAGUGAGGUGGCCCACUUGUAUUAUGCCUGCAGGGGCUGAACCCCCUCAUGGACCAGCUGAUGGAGCCAGUUUAUCACCCUUGAGCUGCCCCUGUGAGCCUUCCAGAAGUAUUACAGGGCUCUGCGAUGAAGCCUGUACCUUUUCUGUUUGAAGGGAUACCCUGCGACGGCGGCGUCGGCCUAGGAGUGCGGCCACAGCGUAUGAGCCGAGGACCGGGACGUUCUCAGGAGACGUAGACUAAGAGAGAACAGCCCUCUGAGGGCAGGAACUUCCCAGAUGAUGAGGCGGCCUUCUUUUGCACCUGAUGAGGAUUUGCAUCCCUGGAUAUCUGAGAGCUAAAGGGAGAGCAUGUAAACCUGAUGUGAACGGAGGAGACCAGAGGAGCACAGCAACGAGGUGGGUCGGUGCCUGAAGUCCAAGCUACGGCCUGACUCUGGGCUCUACGUUUACCUCACUGUUCGGAUUUUCAUUUUGAAGAUGCGAGGCACUUGGCACAGCAGGGUGGUCUGCAGCAUUCAAAUCGCUACUCCAACAUGACAGACACCCUUGCAGAAAGAGGUCACAGUUGAGCACUUUCAGGUGGAACCUACCUUGGCAAUGCAACACUUUUGGACACUACAUCGGCAUGUGCUUUUCCACUUUGUUUUGCCCCUUCUCCCCUGGGAAGGAAGUAAACCUGGAUAUCAGCAGUCAAGGUCAAGUGAGUGAGGUGGCCCACUUGUAUUAUGCCUGCAGGGGCUGAACCCCCUCAUGGACCAGCUGAUGGAGCCAGUUUAUCACCCUUGAGCUGCCCCUGUGAGCCUUCCAGAAGUAUUACAGGGCUCUGCGAUGAAGCCUGUACCUUUUCUGUUUGAAGGGAUACCCUGCGACGGCGGCGUCGGCCUAGGAGUGCGGCCACAGCGUAUGAGCCGAGGACCGGGACGUUCUCAGGAGACGUAGACUAAGAGAGAACAGCCCUCUGAGGGCAGGAACUUCCCAGAUGAUGAGGCGGCCUUCUUUUGCACCUGAUGAGGAUUUGCAUCCCUGGAUAUCUGAGAGCUAAAGGGAGAGCAUGUAAACCUGAUGUGAACGGAGGAGACCAGAGGAGCACAGCAACGAGGUGGGUCGGUGCCUGAAGUCCAAGCUACGGCCUGACUCUGGGCUCUACGUUUACCUCACUGUUCGGAUUUUCAUUUUGAAGAUGCGAGGCACUUGGCACAGCAGGGUGGUCUGCAGCAUUCAAAUCGCUACUCCAACAUGACAGACACCCUUGCAGAAAGAGGUCACAGUUGAGCACUUUCAGGUGGAACCUACCUUGGCAAUGCAACACUUUUGGACACUACAUCGGCAUGUGCUUUUCCACUUUGUUUUGCCCCUUCUCCCCUGGGAAGGAAGUAAACCUGGAUAUCAGCAGUCAAGGUCAAGUGAGUGAGGUGGCCCACUUGUAUUAUGCCUGCAGGGGCUGAACCCCCUCAUGGACCAGCUGAUGGAGCCAGUUUAUCACCCUUGAGCUGCCCCUGUGAGCCUUCCAGAAGUAUUACAGGGCUCUGCGAUGAAGCCUGUACCUUUUCUGUUUGAAGGGAUACCCUGCGACGGCGGCGUCGGCCUAGGAGUGCGGCCACAGCGUAUGAGCCGAGGACCGGGACGUUCUCAGGAGACGUAGACUAAGAGAGAACAGCCCUCUGAGGGCAGGAACUUCCCAGAUGAUGAGGCGGCCUUCUUUUGCACCUGAUGAGGAUUUGCAUCCCUGGAUAUCUGAGAGCUAAGUUGAGGGCUACACCUCAGGGAGGGGGAUGAGAGUGGGGUGCUGGGUCAGGACUUGGUGGGAGGGAUUUUUGAAUUAGCUUUGGAGAUGGGGAUGUUCACGAGAGGGCCCCUUAGGCCACGUAAAGGGAAAGCCUCGCUUUUGAUCACAAUGCUGAGGUGUGGAGGGCAGAGCAGUCCCGGUGUGUGUUGUCUUGUCCGGUGUGUGUUCUGUGUCUUUGGCUUCCCUUGGAUCAGAUCUCUCUGCCUUUUACCCUUAAGGGGCUUAUCAUAAGCAUUGGCCAUCAUCUCUAGCUUCUUGAACUUUCGUACUUCUCGGUAGGAUGCCAAUAUCACUUGUUCUUUUACUAGUGGGCUUGGCCACAUCUUGGAAUCACAUCUUGAAAGCAUUGAGUCGGAUCUCUUUUGAGGCCUUGUUCCCGGCUGUACUGCCAUCCAUCCUUUCCAGCCGUGAGCUGUAAUGUCCUGGGGCUUGUAAGAUUGUCAGGAUAUGGGAGCAUUCUAAACGUGGCGUUGUCUCUCACAGCCAUCUUGAUCAUUGUGACUGACAGUUCUUAGAACAGGUCACUGUUACAGUCUUUUCUUCUGCUCCUUAGAGCCCCCUUCAUCCACCAAUGCCAUACCAUCGGUUGUCUCUUUUGGCAUCGUCUCUGUCCUUGCCAUCGUUCUUCUUGCCGAGAGCUUUUUUUAUCAUCCUCAUGUCACACUGCUUGUAGUAUAAUGUGUUGUUUGAGUUUGUGUCUAGCCUGGAAUUGCUCUGCCCUGUAGAGUAGUCCUGGCGGGGGAGUAGGUGGAGAAGAAAGGAGACUUUACAGGGAGCCUUUUGCUUUGCUCAGCCACCUGAGCCACGCCUCGGAUGGAGUGACUGUGGCCAGUCUGUGUGGUGUUCAGUGGAGACGUGGGAGUGGUGCAGUGGUGUCUUGCAGUUUCAUAGUAGUUUGUCCUAAGGCCCACUACUGUGGGAUCCUAGGCAGUUUGCUUUGAGGAAUGAGAACUUGGGAAAGGCUAAGCUGGGUAACUUUGACAAAUAAUUCUUUUGCAGAGGGAGAGCAUGUAAACCUGAUGUGAACGGAGGAGACCAGAGGAGCACAGCAACGAGGUGGGUCGGUGCCUGAAGUCCAAGCUACGGCCUGACUCUGGGCUCUACGUUUACCUCACUGUUCGGAUUUUCAUUUUGAAGAUGCGAGGCACUUGGCACAGCAGGGUGGUCUGCAGCAUUCAAAUCGCUACUCCAACAUGACAGACACCCUUGCAGAAAGAGGUCACAGUUGAGCACUUUCAGGUGGAACCUACCUUGGCAAUGCAACACUUUUGGACACUACAUCGGCAUGUGCUUUUCCACUUUGUUUUGCCCCUUCUCCCCUGGGAAGGAAGUAAACCUGGAUAUCAGCAGUCAAGGUCAAGUGAGUGAGGUGGCCCACUUGUAUUAUGCCUGCAGGGGCUGAACCCCCUCAUGGACCAGCUGAUGGAGCCAGUUUAUCACCCUUGAGCUGCCCCUGUGAGCCUUCCAGAAGUAUUACAGGGCUCUGCGAUGAAGCCUGUACCUUUUCUGUUUGAAGGGAUACCCUGCGACGGCGGCGUCGGCCUAGGAGUGCGGCCACAGCGUAUGAGCCGAGGACCGGGACGUUCUCAGGAGACGUAGACUAAGAGAGAACAGCCCUCUGAGGGCAGGAACUUCCCAGAUGAUGAGGCGGCCUUCUUUUGCACCUGAUGAGGAUUUGCAUCCCUGGAUAUCUGAGAGCUAAAUGCAGAUGGAUUGAAUCUGUGGCAGAGUGCCCCAUACCAGGAAGUAAUGCUGAAUAUCAGUGGUCAAGGUCAAUGGAGCGAGGUGGUCCACUGGGAAGGUGUCCCGGCCCUGGGAUGCUGGAGGCCAGGUGCUGCUGCUGCCCUAGGCAUGCCAAGGGACAGAGGCGAGCAGGUAUCGUCCGGGCCACCUCCGGAGUCAGAUGAAGAUUUGAGGUGAGCCUGGGCCAGUGGUGCAGAGGGAGCCCAUGCAUUAUUCUUCUGGAGGGCAACAGUCGCAGUUUCUGUUUUGUUGUCUUAGGUACCACAAGUAGGUGCAGAGCCUAAGUUUGGAAACGGCUGGUAAGCGAUGAGCCUCGGCAGUUAUGAGGGAGAGGGGCAUUGUGCAAGGGGUCACUUCUGGGACGUGUCAUCACAGUCUGAAUUUUGUCAUUAUUCUCUAUCUUUUGUAGCUGCCCAAGUGGGCUGUGGGCCAUGUAUUGACAUCCACGGUGCUGAAGCCUUCUUUUCUGUCGAGGAUGGAUUUUGUCUGCUGGUCUUCGGAGAGCUAAGUGUGGGGACUGUUGGUUGGGAGAAGGCAAAAACCUUUGGAAUCACAGGAGGCAAUUUGAAGUUAGCUUAGAGGAGAGGGCUGUAGUGGGCCGGGCCCCUUGGAGUUACAGGAGAGAGGGUUUCUCUUCAGCAUCACUCGAGCCUUUGCCGGGCCAGGCAGUUCCAACCUAUCUCCAUGUUCUCGUGAGCUUCGCAUCGUUGGAUGUUGAGUCUCGAUGUCAUUGUCCAUCUUCUCACCUGAGGAGCCUGCCUUCAGGUCUGGCAUGAUUGCCACGGUCUAAAUUUUGCCUACUCUUCAGUGUAGCCACGCUUUGGAGCACUUUUGAACAUAGCAUGCGGGCAUCUCGCAUCUUGGCCGUUUGUUGGUCGGUCAUGUUUUGUGACGUCACUUCAGCCUUUGGCGGCAGAAUCAUUCUCUAGGGAUCCCUUUGUAUCACCUGGCAGUCGUUGCCUCCUUCUCUAGGCCUACUGCGCUUCUUGAGCAUCCUCUUACCAGCUUUGGCACUAACUUCUCAUAAGGAGUUUAUAUUUCACUGUCAUGUACUACUGCCAUAGAGCCUUCUUUCCUUUGGCGUCAUCGGCCUCUGACUCAUCUUGCGCUAGGAAUCUUGGGUCCAUCAGGUAAAACUGCUGGGCAGUUUCAGUUUAUGUCUAUGUUAUGUGGUCUGUGUCCGUUGUCUUCAGUGUCAUAGGGCUUUGUGAUGUCUCAAUGCUUUACAGGCAUCGUUAUGGGCCUUAUUGGCAGCAGGAGUGCUUGCAUACUUUCCUGGAUUGGGCUUAUUCUGGCAUCUUUAUGGUUUUGCUUUUUGAGACCAGAAGAAGUACACAAGGUGUUCCUAUCCAUCUUCCUUCUCAGUUUUGCUAGUAUCUUUUUUUCAUGUGCCAUUCCCUUGGACUUCUAUAUGAAGUGUACUAGACCCUCCUCACUGCAGUAGUUUCGUAGCUUCUGUCGCCUCAAAGCAUCCUGGUCUCAAGAAUUUAUCUUCUGAAGCGUUAUCUCAAGUCUUCGUGUCAUCUCUGCUUAUAUUUGAUGCACUGGGUGUCCAUGUGCUGCUUGUGCUUGGAGCUGCCCUGCCCUGGCACAUUCAGUCAUGGCUAGUUUGAACAGUUUUAAACUCUCAUCUCUUGUCUAUGGGCUUUUGGGUAGAAAGCUUAUGGGCCUGGUGUGGGGAUAACUCCUAUCUGUCAGCUACUUGCAGACUGCCUCAUGCUGUCUUGCAGGUCCCCGAGGCAGAUUUUGAUCCCUAUAGUCACUGAUGCUACCAAUUUUCCCAGGAUCUACUGUUCCACAUCAAGGAGCAGCAGAUGGAAGAAGAUGUUAAAGCAUCUUCUUUAGGGGGGAGUGUUUCUAGUAAGGGCUGCAGUCAGUGUGUAAGCUGAGGAAGGGGUGUCUGAGAGUGUGUCUGUCUGUGUGUGUGUUGACUGGCUCUAACCUUAUGCGUGUGUCGUUUUUUGCCUUUCAGGUUCUUCAGUUCAUUUUAAAAUUUAGAAUAUGAAAAACCCAGCUGGUCCUGCCCAUGCUGUGGGGUCAGUCAGAGGGACACAGGGUUCCUCUUCUCCUCUCUGCUGGGAUGAACUGCCUAGGGAAUACCAUUUCUGACA
Long non-coding RNA from Corvus hawaiiensis (hawaiian crow), 17004 nucleotides. RefSeq lists it as uncharacterized. The record is from RefSeq and is a predicted model, not a curated record. The transcript has 96 exons. NCBI's taxonomy places the organism in Eukaryota, Metazoa, Chordata, Aves, Passeriformes, Corvidae.